AGAGUUUGAUUAUGGCUCAGGAUGAACGCUAGCUACAGGCUUAACACAUGCAAGUCGAGGGGUAGCAGGAUCUAGCAAUAGAUUGCUGACGACCGGCGCACGGGUGAGUAACACGUAUCCAACCUCCGUUUACUCGGGGAUAGCCUUUCGAAAGAAAGAUUAAUACCCGAUAGUAUGUUUUUCCCGCAUGGGAGAACCAUUAAAGUUUUUCGGUAAUCGAUGGGGAUGCGUUCCAUUAGGCAGUUGGUGAGGUAACGGCUCACCAAACCUUCGAUGGAUAGGGGUUCUGAGAGGAAGGUCCCCCACAUUGGAACUGAGACACGGUCCAAACUCCUACGGGAGGCAGCAGUGAGGAAUAUUGGUCAAUGGACGAGAGUCUGAACCAGCCAAGUAGCGUGAAAAGGAUGACUGCCCUAUGGGUUGUAAACUUCUUUUAUAUGGGAAUAAAGGAGCCUACGUGUAGGUUUUUGUAUGUACCAUACGAAUAAGGAUCGGCUAACUCCGUGCCAGCAGCUGC
Molecule: ribosomal RNA, 517 nt
Filed under: uncultured bacterium
Lineage: Bacteria
Description: bacterial SSU rRNA
Rfam family: Bacterial small subunit ribosomal RNA
Source: RNAcentral